GACGUAGGGCGCGAGCGUUGUCCGGAUUUAUUGGGCGUAAAGAGCUCGUAGGCGGCUUGUUGCGCCAGCUGUGAAAACCCGCAGCUCAACUGUGGGCUUGCAGCUGAUACGGGCAGGCUUGAGUUCGGUAGGGGAGACUGGAAUUCCUGGUGUAGUGGUGAAAUGCGUAGAUAUCGGGAGGAACACCAGUGGCGAAGGCGACUACCUGGCCUGUUCUUGACGCUGAGGCGCGAAAGCUAGGGGAGCAAACGGG
RNAcentral lists this ribosomal RNA (253 nucleotides) under uncultured bacterium. RNAcentral's name for it is "partial 16S ribosomal RNA". It matches the Rfam family "Bacterial small subunit ribosomal RNA", at positions 524 to 776 of the family's 1533-position model. The record is from RNAcentral.